Molecule: ribosomal RNA, 496 nt
Filed under: uncultured bacterium
Lineage: Bacteria
Description: partial 16S ribosomal RNA
Rfam family: Bacterial small subunit ribosomal RNA
Source: RNAcentral
GAUGAACGCUGGCGGCGUGCCUAAUACAUGCAAGUCGAGCGAACAGACGAGGAGCUUGCUCCUCUGACGUUAGCGGCGGACGGGUGAGUAACACGUGGAUAACCUACCUAUAAGACUGGGAUAACUUCGGGAAACCGGAGCUAAUACCGGAUAAUAUAUUGAACCGCAUGGUUCAAUAGUGAAAGACGGCUUUGCUGUCACUUAUAGAUGGAUCCGCGCGGCAUUAGCUAGUUGGUAAGGUAACGGCUUACCAAGGCUACGAUGCGUAGCCGACCUGAGAGGGUGAUCGGCCACACUGGAACUGAGACACGGUCCAGACUCCUACGGGAGGCAGCAGUAGGGAAUCUUGCGCAAUGGGCGAAAGCCUGACGGAGCAACGCCGCGUGGGUGAAGAAGGUCUUCGGAUCGUAAAACUCUGUUAUUAGGGAAGAACAAAUGUGUAAGUAACUAUGCACGUCUUGACGGUACCUAAACAGAAAGCCACGGCUAACUACGU